AAAAUAAUUUAAAAUAUCUGCUGUUAUAUUUAAUGGCGUGUGAAUUUAUAUUUUAUGUUACUACACUAAUUUAAAAUGUUUAAUUAUUCUAGGCUGUAAAAUUGUAAAUGGUGCUCCAGCGUAUUCAAAUUUGCAUAACAAAAUAUUUCAACUAGCUGAUAUAUUUUGUGUUAAUGAAUCUGAAGCAGAAAUAUAUACAAAUGAAAUAAUAAAAAUUAAUAGUAUUGAGACAGCUAAUCAAGCUUUAUUUUUACUUUUGAAACAAGGAUGUAAUACUGUUAUCAUAACAUUAGGAUCAUUAGGUGCUGUUUUUGCUUCAAAAAAUAACUCUGAACCUCAAUGGGUCCAUUCACCAAAAGUUACUAACCCUAUUGAUACUACUGCAAGUUCAACUCGGUGCUGGAGAUGCCUUUAUAGGAGCUUUAGCAUAUUUUAUUGUCCAUAAGCCAAAUUUAGAUUUGUAUGAAAAAAUUAAGAGAGCAUGUACAAUAGCUUCUAUUACAGUGCAACAAAAAGGUACCCAAAAAAGUUUUCCCAAUAGAAAUACUUUACCAAAAUAUUUGUUUGAUUAAAUUAAAAUUUUUCAUUCUAUUAUAAUAUUCAAAUUUGUGUAACUUAAUACUUAUAAUAAUUCUUUAUAAAUUAGCUUAUUUAAAAUGUUACGGUAGUAUACCAUGUAAAAUAUUUUUAUUGUUACAUUUUUAAUUCAAUAAUUUUGAUGAUAUAUAUGUUAUUAAUAUAGAAUAAAUGUAAAAAAAAUUUAUUUUA
Long non-coding RNA from Daktulosphaira vitifoliae (grape phylloxera), 768 nucleotides. RefSeq lists it as uncharacterized. The record is from RefSeq and is a predicted model, not a curated record. Lineage: Eukaryota; Metazoa; Arthropoda; Insecta; Hemiptera; Phylloxeridae. The transcript is spliced from 2 exons.